Molecule: non-coding RNA, 28 nt
Filed under: Mus musculus (house mouse)
Lineage: Eukaryota; Metazoa; Chordata; Mammalia; Rodentia; Muridae
Source: RNAcentral
UAGAAAGCAGGUGCAAGGGAAUGGACAU